This 3071-nucleotide long non-coding RNA is filed under the name Apis mellifera (honey bee). Its description in RNAcentral is "uncharacterized LOC102653945, transcript variant X3". Lineage: Eukaryota; Metazoa; Arthropoda; Insecta; Hymenoptera; Apidae. The record is from RNAcentral.
UUUUCAACAUUUUAAACGCAAAACAUGUAUCUAUAUACACAGAUGCAUUAUUUGAAUAUUUAUAAGUACGACUAACGAUUGGAAUACAGAUACAAGCGAUUUACAUGCUAAGAAGCGUUGAAGCGAUUAAACCGUAAUUGGUCGAUUGUAAUAGUUCAAUUUUAGCACGUUAUUGCCAGUUAGUGGUCACGCAUAUGCAUGCGAAGGUGUUUUCUAUUUCUAUACACGGAACAAUGUUAAAGGUGGAGAAUGUUAAUCAAAGUAUCGAACGAGUUCAUCAUCGUGCCAGUCAUAAAUACCACCGAGUUUACGAUCUCUCCGAGAAGAAAAGAAUUUGCAAAAGCACAAACGGUGUUUAACUCUCAUCGCGGAGCUUUGAAGACGAUGAUUAGAACCUUUACGGAUGGAAAAAUCGAAAGAAAACAAGUGAAAGUUGGCGUAAAAAUUACGCGGUGCGCACUUGGCGGAUGCAAAAAGAAAAAAAAAAAGAAGAAAAACGCGAUUUUACUCGAUAACUAGAAACGAGAUCAUCGAUUCACUCGCUUCGUUGGAGUGCAAUUUUCCAGGAACGAUUGUACAUACAUUCCAAGACGGAUUUAUUAAGAUGAUGGAAAUAAAAGGACUCUUUAAAUAAGAAUAAAAAUCAAGAAUUGAAUUAAAAAUCAACUAGAAAGUGGUUCCAUCUAUCGAGGAAAUUUUUCAUCUUAUCUCUACACCAUUUUGGCUAUUGAGCAUAUAGCGAUUACGUAUACAAAAACAUUUGAAAUUUUUUGAUCUCUUUUUGAUGAAACUUGCAAAUCAUUGGUCACAGCGUAUCACAAUAUGGAACAGUAACUUUUUUCCCUCCUAUUCUUUUAUUUACACUCGGUAAUUAAAAUUACGGUAAAUGAACGCGAUUACGUCGAUCCAGGUAGGCAGUGAACGGCGUACAAGUUUACCUUCGAAAAGUCAAGUUCACGCAUAAGCGCGUAAGUGGCAAUCCGCUCCUGUCGAGGCUGGCAGAAAAUUACGAGAGAACGUUUACCGACACUGCGAAAUCUCUGUCUGCUUGUUUAUUUAUGAAAUCAGUCCAUGUCAAAUUAUAAUAUAAAAUGGUAUAAUAGUAAUAAUCCAGAGCGAAUAUAUAUUAUAUAUAGAAAAGAGGAAAAUUGCAAAAUGUGAUUCGUUGCACAAAUAGGAAUGAUGAUAACAGUUGUUUAAUACUGUUAUGUUGUAAAAUUAUGUAAAAAAUUAUUCUUAAGUUGACCAAAUUAUACAUUUUUUGUGGAGUUGUAUAUUAAACGAAGUUGAAAGAUCGAAAAGAUCUUCAUGCUCCAAUUUUUAUGAACAUCGUUGAGUGACUAAGCUUUAAAUAUCGCUUCAUUGGCUGUUCAGGUCUGUUGGUUGAAGUGAAACAAAGUGGUACGUGGUUUCCCUGGAGCAAUCGAAAUUACUUGGAAAACUUGGGAAAUAUCAAUUAAAAUAUUCACAAUUCGGAAUUUGUUCGUUUUAAACUUCCUCUACUUUUUCAUUUGGAAAGAAUUCUAAUACAUUGCAACAUUAAGGGGAAAAAGAAAUUUGAAAAACAUUAAUUUUUUUUCUAAUUUCCCUUAUUUUAUACGGAGAAGGUAUACAGUUUAUCAUUGAAGGGUCGUAAAUAAUUCGAAUAUUAGUAAAAGAAAAUAACAAAAAACUGAAAAAUAUCUUUACCGUACUUCGGAGUAAGGAAAUGUCCAUUAGUAAAACGAUAAAAUUCAAUGCCAUUAUUUCCAUCGAAUAAAUAUAAAAUUUAAUAUUAUUUCUCAAAAAUAAUAUUUUAAUAGUAAUUCUACAAAGAAUAUUCGUACACGGAUCCUCAUCGAUUCCGAAUCAACUCAAUACAAUAAUAUAUUCAAUAGAUACGCCGUCUAACGAUCAUCCGCAUUGCCAAUAAUAUCCUUAAAUAAUAUCUUUUAUCCAAAGUCAAAGAUCACCGCACGAUAGAAGUUCAGCAACGGUAAAAGGAUUGAUGGGAUCCUGGAUUCGAAGCUACUUUCCAACAGUUUAUCAUUUAUGCUGAUCGAAUGGAAAUUUCUGUAACGAUUAUCGAUUAAAGUGUACUUUGGAAUUCUUUUUCAUCUUGAAUAAAAAAAGCUACAAAAAUACUUUGAAUAAGGUGGAGGGCAAACGUUGCGAUCGUUCCACCGUGUCGGAAUCACGUAGUUCUAAUUCGACGCCAUGACGACCCAGUUCUUGGAUAUUUUAUGCCGUUUCUUUUGGAUUGUCGGUUACAUCUCGUAUCUCGUAUGAAUAAAUAUCGUUUGAGACGUGAUUAAAGUUAAAAAAAAUAAGAUUAUAAAAGCAGGUAUUAUUUUUAUUGUCAGUGGACAAGACGAAUUCAUUUCGUCAUGGACGAUAACUGUUCGUGCAAUAAAGUUCCAUUAGAUUAAAAGCGGUUGUUCUCUUUUAAAAAAAAAUCUCUCUUAAGUAACAAAGCAAGAAGAAUCCUAAGCGAUCAUUAAGCGAGAAUUACAAUGAAUGAACGCUGUUCGAGCGAAGGGUUGAUCUCGGAAGAGAUCGGAAUGUUAAAGGGGGAAAUAAAUUCGAGGUGGGCCAGGAAGGACAGAACGUCUAUGCGAGGAAUGCGCGCCAGGUUGAGAAGGCCGCGGGCGUUGUUAGGAGGAUUUAAUCAUUAUUCUUGAAAGUAAUUUAAUUGUUGCUUUUGGUGAAUUGAAUUUUUUUUUUUUUCCUUGAGAAUUAUUAUUAUGCUGCAAAUGUGUUCUAUGCAUCGUAAAUAUCAAUUCGAUGUUUGAUAAAAAUACUUAAAAACAGGCGUGACCGGAAGUACGUAUACAAGUUUCCUCCGAACGUGAAACUUUCUCUUAAGCCUACAUCCGCAAACAUGUUUGUCUCCCGAUUACAUACCAACACAUUUUCCAACAAUUCUUUUGUCAACACAAUCUAUCCACCUCGUGUCUUUUACAUACAAUAUCCCUUUCUCAUUCUUCAAUCUUCCAAUACAACCUAUUCAACCUUCGAACGUGAGAAUUAUAAUACAAAAGAAUAUGCACAAAAAUCAAAAGAUAAAAAAAUAAACGAUAUUCACUCUGCUA